Molecule: non-coding RNA, 183 nt
Filed under: Pseudomonadota bacterium
Lineage: Bacteria; Pseudomonadati; Pseudomonadota
Description: Proteobacteria bacterium 6S RNA
Rfam family: 6S / SsrS RNA
About the family: E. coli 6S RNA was the first non coding RNA to be sequenced, but its function was unknown until recently.
Source: RNAcentral
AAUCCCCUGCGGUGUUCGCGUCGGCCGUCGAUUCCUUGAACCAAUGUCAUGCGACAUGGUUGCGAACCGCUACGAUUGCCGUUGUGCGCAUCCCAAAGCCGGAUGCGCCUGAAGCAUCAGGUACAGCGACCACCUGAACCCUAGGUUCAGGAUGCCCGGUCGGGUCGGCAUCGCGGGGGACCU